This 459-nucleotide ribosomal RNA is filed under the name uncultured bacterium. RNAcentral's name for it is "partial 16S ribosomal RNA". It matches the Rfam family "Bacterial small subunit ribosomal RNA", at positions 338 to 795 of the family's 1533-position model. The record is from RNAcentral.
CCUAUGGGUGGCAGCAGUGAGGAAUAUUGGUCAAUGGCCGAGAGGCUGAACCAGCCAAGUCGCGUGAGGGAAGACGGCCCUACGGGUUGUAAACCUCUUUUGUCGGGGAGCAAAGCGAGUCACGUGUGACUCAUUGAGAGUACCCGAAGAAAAAGCAUCGGCUAACUCCGUGCCAGCAGCCGCGGUAAUACGGAGGAUGCGAGCGUUAUCCGGAUUUAUUGGGUUUAAAGGGUGCGUAGGCGGGCAUUUAAGCCGGCGGUCAAAUGUCGGGGCUCAACCCCGGCCUGCCGUCGGAACUGGGUGCCUUGAGUGGGCGAGAAGUAUGCGGAAUGCGUGGUGUAGCGGUGAAAUGCUUAGAUAUCACGAAGAACUCCGAUUGCGAAGGCAGUUCACUGGACUGCAACUGACACUGAGGCUCGAAAGUGUGGGUAUCAAACAGGAUUAGAUACCCCAGUAGUC